GAUGAACGCUGGCGGCGUGCUUAACACAUACAAGUCGAACGGAAAGGCCCAAGCUUGCUUGGGUACUCGAGUGGCGAACGGGUGAGUAACACGUGGGUGAUCUGCCCUGCACUUCGGGAUAAGCCUGGGAAACUGGGUCUAAUACCGGAUAGGACCACUUCUUGGAUGUUGUGGUGGAAAGUUUUUUCGGUGUGGGAUGAGCUCGCGGCCUAUCAGCUUGUUGGUGGGGUAAUGGCCUACCAAGGCGUCGACGGGUAGCCGGCCUGAGAGGGUGUACGGCCACAUUGGGACUGAGAUACGGCCCAGACUCCUACGGGAGGCAGCAGUGGGGAAUAUUGCACAAUGGGCGCAAGCCUGAUGCAGCGACGCCGCGUGGGGGAUGACGGCCUUCGGGUUGUAAACUCCUUUCGCUAGGGACGAAGCGUUUUGUGACGGUACCUGGAGAAGAAGCACCGGCUAACUACGUG
RNAcentral lists this ribosomal RNA (467 nucleotides) under uncultured bacterium. Its description in RNAcentral is "partial 16S ribosomal RNA". It matches the Rfam family "Bacterial small subunit ribosomal RNA", at positions 28 to 507 of the family's 1533-position model. The record is from RNAcentral.